This 494-nucleotide ribosomal RNA is filed under the name uncultured bacterium. Its description in RNAcentral is "partial 16S ribosomal RNA". It matches the Rfam family "Bacterial small subunit ribosomal RNA", at positions 28 to 507 of the family's 1533-position model. The record is from RNAcentral.
GACGAACGCUGGCGGCGCGCUUAACACAUGCAAGUCGAACGGAAAGGCCUGCUUUCCCUUGUGGAUUGCGGGUACUCGAGUGGCGAACGGGUGAGUAACACGUGAGUGAUCUGCCCCCAACUUGGGUAUAAGCCUGGGAAACUGGGUCUAAUUCCCGAUAGGACUGCAGGGUGGUGCCUGUGGUGGAAAACGAUUUUCUAGUGGUUGGGGAUGAGCUCGCGGCCUAUCAGCUUGUUGGUGGGGUAAUGGCCUACCAAGGCGGCGACGGGUAGCCGGCCUGGGAGGGUGGACGGCCACAUUGGGACUGAGAUACGGCCCAGACUCCUACGGGAGGCAGCAGUGGGGAAUAUGGCACAAUGGGCGGAAGCCUGAUGCAGCGACGCCGCGUGGGGGAUGACGGCCUUCGGGUUGUAAACUCCUUUCGACCGCGAGGAAGCCACCUGGUUGGAAGGGUGGUGACGGUAGUGGUAGAAGAAGCACCGGCUAACUACGUG